Molecule: long non-coding RNA, 379 nt
Organism: Callithrix jacchus (white-tufted-ear marmoset)
Lineage: Eukaryota; Metazoa; Chordata; Mammalia; Primates; Cebidae
Source: RefSeq, a predicted model, not a curated record
CAGCAUUUGACACAUGGACUUUAACCAUACAUGGUCAAACCAUGGUUAACCAUGCACUUUAACCAGAGACCUGGAAGUUAAAUGUGAAACUGGGAAGAGAAGAGAGUUGGAUCUGGUAGACCACAGCUGGCACGGUUCUGAGUUUAGACAGCAUUUAUUUCACUGAUGCACAUCAAUCAAAGAAAGGACCAAGGGAAAAGCAAAACGAGGAUGCCAAGAUAACAUUCAAAUUUUACAGCUAUACCACAAAGUGGAAAUUGUUCUGGGAAAAUGGGACUGUGGAAAAGUUGACAGAAGAAAAUAUCAUCUUUCUGGAGGAUGUCACUUUAUAGUUACACUGUGGGCAAAUUAUUGUUAUUAUAAACAGACAGUUCUACAA